GUGUGUGUGUGUGCGAGCAAUCUGUCGCGAGAUCGUGAUCACGUUCGAGUCGGCGGCGGCUGCGGCGGCGGCGAGCGGAGAAGCUGCAAGUGAAAAUGUAAUGCCUAGGAGGCGCGGCGCAGCGCCACACACGAUCAAGUCCAGACCCGCCCACGGGAGGAGGCGAGGGAACAGGUCCACGUUGUCCAGCCGGGUUUAUUGUCGUCUGUGGUGUUCGCUCAGCGGUACAGAGCAAGCGGCGCGCAAUCUGCACGUUUUAUUGGUGGGCGGGCUGGAAGAUCGUCUCCCUCCUCCCAAGUGGCCACACAAUCCGCUCAGU
Molecule: long non-coding RNA, 319 nt
Organism: Petromyzon marinus (sea lamprey)
Lineage: Eukaryota; Metazoa; Chordata; Hyperoartia; Petromyzontiformes; Petromyzontidae
Source: RefSeq, a predicted model, not a curated record